Molecule: ribosomal RNA, 253 nt
Filed under: uncultured bacterium
Lineage: Bacteria
Description: partial 16S ribosomal RNA
Rfam family: Bacterial small subunit ribosomal RNA
Source: RNAcentral
GACGUAGGGCGCGAGCGUUGUCCGGAUUUAUUGGGCGUAAAGAGCUCGUAGGCGGCUUGUUGCGUCGACCGUGAAAACCCGGGGCUCAACUUCGGGCUUGCGGUCGAUACGGGCGGGCUAGAGUUCGGUAGGGGAGACUGGAAUUCCUGGUGUAGCGGUGAAAUGCGCAGAUAUCAGGAGGAACACCGGUGGCGAAGGCGGGUCUCUGGGACGGUACUGACGCUGAGGCGCGAAAGCCAGGGGAGCAAACGGG